GUAACUUUGCAGUGUGUCAACACAAAGUAGUGUGUGUAGUCAAGUGUUUCAUUACAGUUUUUUCGAUGUGUGAGAUGGAAACGACUUUCAAAAUGCGGAUUAUAAAAACAGACAAAAAAGAAUAGACAGUUGGCUAGCUGUGACAUCUAAUGCUGUUGAUGAAGGUUGGGACAACAUGGACAAAGAAACAAAAGAAGUCUUAGGGAAGGAUGUCAAAAAAGUGGAAGAGCAUUAAGGAUUGCUACUACAAAAAUGUGAAAAUGCACGAAGGAAAAGUGGCGAUUCAUUAAAAUCCAGGAAACAUUACAUUUAUCACAAACAGUGGUCAUUUCUCCAAUCUUUAUGUGUAGAAUGAGAUUUUCUCUUUUAACCACGGGACAUCUGGGAAUAUGACUGUCGAUCUAACAGAAAGUACGCAAAACGCUGGAAACAACACUGCACAACAAGAAGCAAGCACAACACCGGAAAUACAACAUACUACAUCCAAGCCCCUUGCAUAGCGCAAAGGGAGAAAUAAAGUCCUUUU
This is a long non-coding RNA of Schistocerca piceifrons (Central American locust), 526 nucleotides long. RefSeq lists it as uncharacterized. The record is from RefSeq and is a predicted model, not a curated record. Lineage: Eukaryota; Metazoa; Arthropoda; Insecta; Orthoptera; Acrididae. The transcript has 3 exons.